RNAcentral lists this transfer RNA (71 nucleotides) under Bipes biporus. RNAcentral's name for it is "tRNA-Ile". It matches the Rfam family "tRNA". From Rfam's summary of the family: Transfer RNA (tRNA) molecules are approximately 80 nucleotides in length. Their secondary structure includes four short double-helical elements and three loops (D, anti-codon, and T loops). Lineage: Eukaryota; Metazoa; Chordata; Lepidosauria; Squamata; Bipedidae. The record is from RNAcentral.
GGACCCGUGCCCGAGACCAAAGGGACUACUUUGAUAGAGUAUGAAACAGGGGUUUAAAUCCCCUCGGCUCC